GACGAACGCUGGCGGCGUGCUUAACACAUGCAAGUCGAACGGAAAGGCCCUGCUUUUGUGGGGUGCUCGAGUGGCGAACGGGUGAGUAACACGUGAGUAACCUGCCCUUGACUUUGGGAUAACUUCAGGAAACUGGGGCUAAUACCGGAUAGGAGCUCCUGCUGCAUGGUGGGGGUUGGAAAGUUUCGGCGGUUGGGGAUGGACUCGCGGCUUAUCAGCUUGUUGGUGGGGUAGUGGCUUACCAAGGCUUUGACGGGUAGCCGGCCUGAGAGGGUGACCGGCCACAUUGGGACUGAGAUACGGCCCAGACUCCUACGGGAGGCAGCAGUGGGGAAUAUUGCACAAUGGGCGGAAGCCUGAUGCAGCAACGCCGCGUGCGGGAUGACGGCCUUCGGGUUGUAAACCGCUUUCGCCUGUGACGAAGCGUGAGUGACGGUAAUGGGUAAAGAAGCACCGGCUAACUACGUGCCAGCAGCCGCGGUGAUACGUAGGGUGCGAGCGUUGUCCGGAUUUAUUGGGCGUAAAGGGCUCGUAGGUGGUUGAUCGCGUCGGAAGUGUAAUCUUGGGGCUUAACCCUGAGCGUGCUUUCGAUACGGGUUGACUUGAGGAAGGUAGGGGAGAAUGGAAUUCCUGGUGGAGCGGUGGAAUGCGCAGAUAUCAGGAGGAACACCAGUGGCGAAGGCGGUUCUCUGGGCCUUUCCUGACGCUGAGGAGCGAAAGCGUGGGGAGCGAACAGGCUUAGAUACCCUGGUAGUCCACGCUGUAAACGGUGGGUACUAGGUGUGGGGUCCAUUCCACGGGUUCCGUGCCGUAGCUAACGCUUUAAGUACCCCGCCUGGGGAGUACGGCCGCAAGGCUAAAACUCAAAGGAAUUGACGGGGCCCCGCACAAGCGGCGGAGCAUGCGGAUUAAUUCGAUGCAACGCGUAGAACCUUACCUGGGUUUGACAUGGAUCGGGAGUGCUCAGAGAUGGGUGUGCCUCUUUUGGGGUCGGUUCACAGGUGGUGCAUGGCUGUCGUCAGCUCGUGUCGUGAGAUGUUGGGUUAAGUCCCGCAACGAGCGCAACCCUUGUUCACUGUUGCCAGCACGUUAUGGUGGGGACUCAGUGGAGACCGCCGGGGUCAACUCGGAGGAAGGUGGGGGUGACGUCAAGUCAUCAUGCCCCUUAUGUCCAGGGCUUCACGCAUGCUACAAUGGCUGGUACAGAGAGUGGCGAGCCUGUGAGGGUGAGCGAAUCUCGGAAAGCCGGUCUCAGUUCGGAUUGGGGUCUGCAACUCGACCUCAUGAAGUCGGAGUCGCUAGUAAUCGCAGAUCAGCAACGCUGCGGUGAAUACGUUCCCGGGGCU
Molecule: ribosomal RNA, 1346 nt
Filed under: uncultured bacterium
Lineage: Bacteria
Description: partial 16S ribosomal RNA
Rfam family: Bacterial small subunit ribosomal RNA
Source: RNAcentral